UACAGAGGUCCCAAGCGUUGUUCGGAUUCACUGGGCGUAAAGGGUGCGCAGGCGGCGUCGCAAGUCAGGCGUGAAAUCCCCGGGCUUAACCUGGGAACUGCACUUGAAACUACGAUGCUGGAGUAUGGCAGAGGGAGGUGGAAUUCCACGUGUAGCGGUGAAAUGCGUAGAGAUGUGGAGGAACACCGAUGGCGAAGGCAGCCUCCUGGGCCAAUACUGACGCUCAUGCACGAAAGCGUGGGGAGCAAACAGG
RNAcentral lists this ribosomal RNA (253 nucleotides) under uncultured bacterium. RNAcentral describes it as "partial 16S ribosomal RNA". It matches the Rfam family "Bacterial small subunit ribosomal RNA", at positions 524 to 776 of the family's 1533-position model. The record is from RNAcentral.